This is a long non-coding RNA of Arabidopsis thaliana (thale cress), 275 nucleotides long. RefSeq annotates it as other RNA. The transcript has a single exon. Lineage: Eukaryota; Viridiplantae; Streptophyta; Magnoliopsida; Brassicales; Brassicaceae. The record is from RefSeq.
GCUGAUGGAGCCAAGAAUUUUGGUACGAGUGGCGGAAGCGGUGGUUCUGGUAGCACUUCCGACAUCGGUAAAACAAUGGUUGCUCCUGGAUCUGGUGGACGACAAAGCGUUUAGAGGGAGGCUUUUGAGAGCAACCCUAAGAAGUUCUUUGAUGAUCGUAACUUCAAAGAGAAGAAAUGAACCGUUUAAAUGAAGAGCAAGUUCUCAAAAAGUGAUGAUAUAUCUUGUUUCUUAUUUUCUUCUUUGUUAGUGAUCCUCCAAGGCUCCACUAGUUC